This 76-nucleotide transfer RNA is filed under the name Gammaproteobacteria bacterium. RNAcentral's name for it is "tRNA-Lys". It matches the Rfam family "tRNA". From Rfam's summary of the family: Transfer RNA (tRNA) molecules are approximately 80 nucleotides in length. Their secondary structure includes four short double-helical elements and three loops (D, anti-codon, and T loops). Lineage: Bacteria; Pseudomonadati; Pseudomonadota; Gammaproteobacteria. The record is from RNAcentral.
GGGCCGUUAGCUCAGUUGGUAGAGCAGUGGACUUUUAAUCCGCGUGUCAUGCGUUCGAUUCGCAUACGGCCCACAA